CAGGACUAGUUAAGGUGCUUCUACAUUAUAUGGAAGCUCUAUUACGAUUCAACAAAACUUAAUUAACAUAAUGUACGGAAAACUUCUCUCUGCUUCCUCCGUUAGAUGUGAGUCUCCAAAAUACCUGAAGUGGACUAAAACAACCUGCUAUCAUAAAUUACUGUUAGGCAGAUGACGCGUUUAGUACCACAUAACAUCCAGUCCAUCUUAAUUGCAGAAAUACAGGUUAAUGCUAACGAGUCGACUGGACACUUAGGAAGGCAAAUAGGUAAAGUAAUAACCAGUGUUAAAAGUAAGCAUGCAACAACAGAGUCCAGGUUUCUGAUCAAAAUUCACAGGCAAGAGUAAAUGGAGAUAAUCCAGCUGCAAUGAUGAAUGUUUUUUAUCUACACUCCCAGUAAAGGCACAAGUUAUGUUGGGACAAUAAGCACGUACUUUUACAGAAAGAACACAGUUUACCAUAACCAUCCAUUAAAUCUACACUCCCAGUAUGAUGAAUGGGUGCAAAAAAGUGUGGAUUUUUUCUUGCAGUUCCUAAUUAUGUUUUAUUUUUCUCGCAGUUCCUCUAUCUACCCAAUGGCAUACCUUAGUGCCAAAUGGGCAAAAUUAAUAAUCAUAAUCAAGCAUGAAAGGAGCUACUCAAGGGCACACUUUACUGCCUAUUGGGGAAUACUAAUACUCCCUCUAUUCCUAAAUGUAGUGCGCAUAGGAAAUUUCAAAAGUCACCCCCCCCCCCUACUUUGACUACAUUUAUAGAGGAAAAUAUCUACAUCUAUAAUAUUAAAUAAAUAUCAUGAGAUACUCCCUCUAUAAAGAAAUAUAAGAGCGUUUAGUUCACUGCUUUAGUGAUCUAAACGCUCUUAUACUUCUUUAUAGAGGAGUACAUCAAUAAGCAUAUUCAAAGAAAUUUUGGUAUUAUUGUUGUUGAUAAUUUUCUCACUAAACCUGGUAAAACUAAACAAUGUUUGACUUCUAAGAAAUUUUAUGCGCACUACAUUUAGGACUAGAGGGAGUAAUCAUCAGCAAGUAUGGAGCUAUUUUUUGGUAAAUCUAGUAAUAUUCUUUCAAUCAUCUAGUCAAUUAUUAGAAAUAAAAACGUUCUUGAGCCAGUACAAGGAUGAUAAUUCCAUGCCAUCUCCAUACUACCGAGGCACAACAUUAUAUUAUUGAUCUUAGUCAUAGGUGUUGUUCAUUGUAUAGUCCUGAUUCGUUGACUUAACCGGCCACAAUGAAGAACUUUUCUUAAGAGUGACUAUUCGGAGGUUAAAGUCACUUAUGCAAUGUGAAAUCAAAAUCAAUUCUCAGAGUGUGUAUGUUGGGGGUUGGCAUAUAGCUGUAACGACCACUCCGGUUACAUGUGAAUGGGGCCCAGAUGUAAGUUUGUUGGAAGAGAGAACUACAUGCACUUCUUGGAUGCCGAUGAAAAGAGUCAAAGAGCUAAUCGUCAAGCUCAUGAACCUAGAAGUGCUGGAGAGUUUCAGCUAGCUGUGGUUGCAAUUUUUAUUCUUAUUGAGUGUCUACCAAAAAUCUGCACCGAUGCCUAAUUUUCCUUUAAAUGCAAGGGCUACAAUCUAUAUAGACCAUGCACCUUCCUUCUUUUAAAUCGUAGGAGGGCACAUGCAUCCACCUAGCCAAAUCAAAACAGAUAGGAUAAACAACAUAUUACCUGACAGCUAGUGGUCACAACAUUUAAUCAAUGGUAAAUCUUGUCUCUCUGACAUGCUUUUCCUCUGAAAUUCAAGUGAAGGGUGGCCAUGGAGGACACCAACAAGAAGCUGCUCAUUCAGCUUAAGCAUCCUGUGCC
This 1804-nucleotide long non-coding RNA is filed under the name Triticum aestivum (bread wheat). RNAcentral's name for it is "long non-coding RNA (TAES_LNC001318)". Lineage: Eukaryota; Viridiplantae; Streptophyta; Magnoliopsida; Poales; Poaceae. The record is from RNAcentral.